UACAGAGGAGCCAAGCGUUGUCCGGAUUGACUGGGCGUAAAGCGCACGCAGGCGGUGCUGCGCGUGGGGUGUGAAAUCUGGCCGCUUAACGGCCAGGCGCCAUCCCAUACGGCAGCACUGGAGGGCUGCAGAGGUCGAUGGAAUUGCCGGUGUAGUGGUGAAAUGCGUAGAUAUCGGGAGGAACACCAGUGGCGAAGGCGACUACCUGGCCCAUUCUUGACGCUGAGGCGCGAAAGCUAGGGGAGCGAACGGG
Molecule: ribosomal RNA, 253 nt
Filed under: uncultured bacterium
Lineage: Bacteria
Description: partial 16S ribosomal RNA
Rfam family: Bacterial small subunit ribosomal RNA
Source: RNAcentral